UAUCUUCUGAGUAUGAUAAAGUACAGUUGCCUUCCAAGCAGAAAGAUUAAUAUAAAUUUAAAGAAGAUAU
Molecule: transfer RNA, 70 nt
Filed under: Terebellum terebellum
Lineage: Eukaryota; Metazoa; Mollusca; Gastropoda; Littorinimorpha; Seraphsidae
Description: tRNA-Gly
Source: RNAcentral